This 1617-nucleotide long non-coding RNA is filed under the name Homo sapiens (human). Its description in RNAcentral is "long non-coding RNA NONHSAT195821.1". The record is from RNAcentral. Lineage: Eukaryota; Metazoa; Chordata; Mammalia; Primates; Hominidae.
GUGGAGUGAGGAACCCAGCAACACGCUCCUGACUUCCCUUCCCAAGGACUCGACCUGAGAACCGCCAUGUACUCGGAGAUCCAGAGGGAGCGGGCAGACAUUGGGGGCCUGAUGGCCCGGCCAGAAUACAGAGAGUGGAAUCCGGAGCUCAUCAAGCCCAAGAAGCUGCUGAACCCCGUGAAGGCCUCUCGGAGUCACCAGGAGCUCCACCGGGAGCUGCUCAUGAACCACAGAAGGGGCCUUGGUGUGGACAGCAAGCCAGAGCUGCAGCGUGUCCUAGAGCACCGCCGGCGGAACCAGCUCAUCAAGAAGAAGAAGGAGGAGCUGGAAGCCAAGCGGCUGCAGUGCCCCUUUGAGCAGGAGCUGCUGAGACGGCAGCAGAGCUGGAAAAACCACCAGAGAAGGAAGAGGAUCACGCCCCCGAGUUUAUUAAAGUCAGGGAAAACCUGCGGAGAAUUGCCACACUGACCAGCGAAGAGAGAGAGCUGUAGGGCCAGCUGCCGGGCUCAGGCCACUGCCCACCCUGGCCUGGACAGCCUCCUUCAGCCCUUCUGUACCUGGCAGCCCUGGGCCCCAGGCCCUGGGACGUCUGUGAUGUUCCCACCUGCUUCUGUAGAAAUGUGUCACCCCAGAGGGCCUGGCUCUCCCUGGGAGGCUGGGGCCCCUAAGCUCCUAGGUUUUCCUUCCAAGCACCCAGCCCUCCUGCUCCAAGAGGGAUAACCUGCACCCCUCCCUGCAAGGGGUUCAGAGCCCAGCACAGGAGCUUUCUCUGGCAGAAUUGAGGAGGAAGAGGUGGCCCUCUGACUUGACAAGCCUUCUGUUCUGCCCAGGCCUUCCCACCAGGAAUCUCCGAGGCUCCCCAGGGCCCCGCUUCUCCGUACACCCCAGCUCCUAGGUCUCAGAGAACUCCCCCACCUGUGGUUUUACCUGCAGCCAGCAGAGCUUAGCUUCAAGGACACCUGCCUUCAAAGCCACUGAGGGGAGGAAGGGCAGGGCAGACUGCAGAUGGCCUUGUUGCUGGCAUCCCGGCCAGGUGGGCGGGGACUAACAAAGACAGCUGUUUAGGGUCUUCUCCCCUCACCCAUGCUUUCAUCAUCCCCUCCGCACAGCCUCCCCGUCCAGGCCUUCUAACCACACCUACCCAGGGCUGCCGCAUUCCUGCACUCAGAAGUCUGCAGCGGUGCCUCACAAACUUGAUUGUGCAUAAAAAUCACUGGGGAUCUUGUUAAUACAGCUUCUAACUCAAUAGAUCUGGGAGAUCCUGCAUUUCUAACAAGCUCCCAGGUAAGGCGGAGGCUGCUGGUGUGAGGACCAUGCUGUGAGCAGCAGGGCGAGAGUGCCCAGGGCUGAUAUAUAUUGGAAAUAUCACCCCUGAAGCCAUCGCUGGCCCCCACCUCCUGUGGACUGAUGCCCCAGGGAUUCCCACCCCACUUCUGCAACCCCAGGUAUCCUUCAUUAUCCACCCCAUCCCAGACUCCCACCCCAGGGAUUGCCCGUGAAGACUUUGGCCUAGCAAAUUGUGUUGGUUAUGUGAGUGUUGUUUUAAUCAGAGAUGUACAUGAUUGCCAAUCUGCAUUUCUUACCAGUGUGACCACACUGUUACGAUGCAAUUCUAGC